This 471-nucleotide long non-coding RNA is filed under the name Arabidopsis thaliana (thale cress). Its description in RNAcentral is "ncRNA (AT1G09393)". The record is from RNAcentral. Lineage: Eukaryota; Viridiplantae; Streptophyta; Magnoliopsida; Brassicales; Brassicaceae.
AAGUGUCACGCCUCUACUUUAAUUUUCCCAUUUUACCCUCAUCCAUCAUUAACUUCUUUUACGCAUGCCCCUCCUGUUUCUCGCUCUGUUCUUUCUUCUACUCCUUUAUUGUUUUCUUCACGUUUAUAACUAUUUGUUGAUUAUUUCACUUCAACAUCGUAUUAAAAAUAAGUUAAAGACAAAUUAAAUAGAGUAAACCCAUUCAUAAAAACAACAUAAUCAUUAAGGCUGAGUCGGAUGAUAUGUGAAUAGCCUAUUUUUCCGGAUAUCCUCCAAAUCAAGUUUUAUGUCGUCGAUUUGUGUGUGUGUGUCCAUCAUCUGUUGUAUUUGUUCAAAAGGGCUUAAAACAUUUCGUACCAAACAUGAAUCUUCAUUAGUCAUCAUCCGUUCAUUAGUGGGAUUAUUUGUUUUGAUUACAAUUACAAGGCAUGCUUUAGCGAAGCGUGUUUAAGCACAAACGCAUGGACCUUC